GGCGAUAGCUCAGUGGUAGACUAUCAGCCUUGCAUGCAGAAGGUCCCAAGUUCAAUUCCCCAGCAUCUCCA
This is a non-coding RNA of Podarcis lilfordi (Lilford's wall lizard), 71 nucleotides long. The record is from the annotation of a GenBank genome assembly. Lineage: Eukaryota; Metazoa; Chordata; Lepidosauria; Squamata; Lacertidae.